CCUACGGGAGGCAGCAGUGGGGAAUUUUGGACAAUGGGCGCAAGCCUGAUCCAGCUAUUCCGCGUGUGGGAAGACGGCCUUCGGGUUGUAAACCACUUUUGUAGAGAACGAAAAGUCUAUUGAUAAUACCGAUAGACGAUGACGGUACUCUAAGAAUAAGCACCGGCUAACUACGUGCCAGCAGCCGCGGUAAUACGUAGGUGGCAAGCGUUGUCCGGAUUUACUGGGUGUAAAGGGCGUGCAGCCGGGCUGACAAGUCAGAUGUGAAAUCCCGCGGCUCAACCGCGGAACUGCAUUUGAAACUGUCAGUCUUGAGUACCGGAGAGGUCAUCGGAAUUCCUUGUGUAGCGGUGAAAUGCGUAGAUAUAAGGAAGAACACCAGUGGCGAAGGCGGAUGACUGGACGGCAACUGACGGUGAGGCGCGAAAGCGUGGGGAGCAAACAGGAUUAGAUACCCUAGUAGUC
Molecule: ribosomal RNA, 465 nt
Filed under: uncultured bacterium
Lineage: Bacteria
Description: partial 16S ribosomal RNA
Rfam family: Bacterial small subunit ribosomal RNA
Source: RNAcentral